This 216-nucleotide ribosomal RNA is filed under the name Glomeromycotina sp. RNAcentral describes it as "partial small subunit ribosomal RNA". The stretch from base 44 to 216 matches the Rfam family "Eukaryotic small subunit ribosomal RNA", at positions 690 to 864 of the family's 1831-position model. Lineage: Eukaryota; Fungi; Glomeromycota. The record is from RNAcentral.
GGGUCAGUAGGUUGGUCGUGCCACCGGUACGUACUGGUCUCACUGAUUCCUCCUUCCUGAAGAACCGUAAUGCCAUUAAUUUGGUGUCGCGGGGAAACAGGACUGUUACUCUGAAAAAAUUAGAGUGUUUAAAGCAAGCUAACGCUUGAAUACAUUAGCAUGGAAUAAUGAAAUAGGACGAUCGAUCCUAUUUUGUUGGUUUCUAGGAUUGACGUA